AGCGUAGACGGACUGGCAAGUCUGAUGUGAAAGGCGGGGGGCUCAACCCCUGGACUGCAUUGGAAACUGUUAGUCUUGAGUGCCGGAGAGGUAAGCGGAAUUCCUAGUGUAGCGGUGAAAUGCGUAGAUAUUAGGAGGAACACCAGUGGCGAAGGCGGCUUACUGGACGGUAACUGACGUUGAGGCUCGAAAGCGUGGGGAGGCAAAACA
Molecule: ribosomal RNA, 210 nt
Filed under: uncultured bacterium
Lineage: Bacteria
Description: partial 16S ribosomal RNA
Rfam family: Bacterial small subunit ribosomal RNA
Source: RNAcentral